AGACUGGGACCUCCUGCCAGCUUCAGACUGGGACCUCCUGCCAACUUCAGACUGGGACCACCUACAGUCGGCGUCCCAGGUGACCUCAGCCUUGGCCUACGAAGACCCCAGCCAGCACUUCAGGGUGGAAUGAGUCUUCUUCUACUGCUUCAUUGUGACAAAGGAUGGAAAGUGUAAGGAUGGAAAGGACAAUGCAGGGAGGUGUUUAGGGCAUGUCCUAGGGGGAAGAUCCGGGACACGUUGGGAAGACUAUGUCUCCUGGCUGGACCUGGGAACGCCUUGGGAUUCUCCCGGGAGGAGCUGGACAAAGUGUCUGGGGAGAGGGAUGUCUGGGCUUCCCUGCUUAGGCUGCUGCCCCCGCGACCCGCCCUCGGAUAAGCGGAAGACGAUGAAUGGAUGGAUGGACUAAAUUAUUUGUAUCGGGACAACCCUACUCCACAUUUUAUAACUUUGUAGCCAAAAAGUUUGCCAAAAUAUUAGGAAGACCACGGAAGGAACAGUUCAGCUUCACGCUUAGUUACAUGUCAGGUGUUUGCGUGAAUUGCAGCGGAGUAUUUGGAUUCCUUCCCUGGUGGUUUCUCUCUGCCGUCUGUUCCCACGUUCAAAGUGUUUCUGCAGGCGUGAUGACAAUCAGAACGUUAUUUCCUGAAUCCAACAAGUGCGGGUCGGACGUCGCCCGAGGCCCUUAAUAGCUGAUACUACAGCCGACCUCCGACCUCUGCCGCCGUGUCUCGCCGCCCGCAUGUUUAAUUCACGGCGGUCUGCCGAGGCCUGGUUAGUAUUCCGAGCGUUUACCG
This is a long non-coding RNA of Nerophis lumbriciformis (worm pipefish), 797 nucleotides long. RefSeq lists it as uncharacterized. The record is from RefSeq and is a predicted model, not a curated record. Lineage: Eukaryota; Metazoa; Chordata; Actinopteri; Syngnathiformes; Syngnathidae.